UAAAGGUCCAAAGAUACCUAGCUGGUCUGAUUUCUUUGCUUUUCCUUCAAAAGUCUUCCUACAUAUUUCUUAAUAUGUUUUCUAAGGUUUUCAGUUGUACUUAGAGAAGACUUAUGUGUAGGUGUUUGAUCAUUUCAUUAGAGGAAAAUAUAUAUCUACUCCAUCUUCCAAGAAGUGGAAGUCAUAUGUUGUUAUUUUGUCUUUAAUCAAAGAAAUAUAUUCUCAUAGUUUAAAAAGUCAAGGGACUUAAAGAAUCUUUAGCAGCCUUCCUCUCCCUUAUGUACUCCUGCAUGCCACUCUGGAAGCAACCACUUUCAACAUCUUCAGCUGUUUCUUCUGUUAUUAAUGCCCAUGUUUCUAAACAAUAUGCUCACUCUGCUACUUAUUGAUCCCAAAAUUUGAUAUGUAUUGAUUUUUUUGUGGUGGUAGAUAAGUAUUUAGCUUUCUCAUAUAUUUUUACCUUAUUUUCUUUGUCCUUGUUAUAGGCAUGUCACUAUUUUUGUUAAAUUGGAAUCAGUAUUUAUAUUAUUACAAUAAUGUAGUGGAAACAAUAUUUUUAUUUUUCCAAGUUGCUCUGUCAAAUAUGCCUCCCAUUUGUCCUUUUCCCUCUAACAUACAAUUAUAUUAACUCAUCUAUCAUAUGCUCCUUUUUUCUGAAAAUUUCUCCCCUUUAAAGUCCUUUUAUCUCUUCCUUCUGUCUGAACUGGUUAUUCCCUUGACUGCUGUACUGGUAUCAUUCUGGAAUUCUUCUUUUUCCAUCCUCCUGAGUUGUAUCCACCAACUUGUCUACCUAUUGAAAUUAAACAAGUGUAGUAGAAUUCUAGAAAUUAGUGGCUCUAGUGAAUGACAUAUAAAUAUUCCUAUUACUAGUCUUUCUACUAUUCUGUAUGUUUAAAAACUUUAAAAAAUUUUUGUGGAACUUUUUCCCAUGCCAUUUUGAUUCCUAUUUCUUGAAGGUAAUGCCCGUUCUUCUUCCUUUAUGGAAACUUUUAGACUCCUUUUCCUAAAUGUUCUGAAGUUUCAAUGCUGUGCCCUUGUGAAGGACAUUUAUAUAUGUUGGACCCUUGGUGAGCAGUUUUUAUCUAUAGUAGACUCAUAUACUUCAGGCUUGGGAAAAUCUCUUAUAGUAUUUUAUGGUAAUUUUCUCUCUUUUACUUUCUAAUUUUACUAUUUCAGGAGCUAUCCUUAAGCAACUAAAUAUUAGAUCUCCUGGACUGAUUCUAAAAGACUAAUAUUUUUUUUCUGUUUUCUGACUUCUUAACCACUAUUCUCUUUUGGGAGAAUUUUCUGGGACUUUAUUUUCCAAACUUAUAUUGAAUUUUUUG
RNAcentral lists this long non-coding RNA (1325 nucleotides) under Marmota monax (woodchuck). Lineage: Eukaryota; Metazoa; Chordata; Mammalia; Rodentia; Sciuridae. The record is from RNAcentral.